CCCUAAGAAGCAUAUUGGACACUGAGGCUUAGAAUAGAUAAGGAUGUUUACCAGAGUUGCAGGAGAGGCAUGCAGUGUUAGAAACCCCAUCUGUGCAACUCUAAACCGAUUCUCAGCACCUCUGUCAGACAACUCACCAGAUAAAACCUUUACAUUUGGAACAGAAAGUGAAGCAUCUUAAGAUUAAAGGCUCCGCACAGAUGGGAUUUUUCAAAUGAAAACCAGAUGAAAGUAAACAGCAAUCUCACCAUCAAAACCUAAAGGUGGUCUUCCUUGCCUCUGUCAGUAGAGAAAUGAAAGACAGAGGGCUGAAUCAGCCAGCCAAGUAGGAUGAAAACGGAUGAUGCAGGUUUUAUUUCACAUCGCUUCAGAAAAUGUAA
Molecule: long non-coding RNA, 380 nt
Organism: Callithrix jacchus (white-tufted-ear marmoset)
Lineage: Eukaryota; Metazoa; Chordata; Mammalia; Primates; Cebidae
Source: RefSeq, a predicted model, not a curated record